CCCUCGUCCUGAGGAAAAGUAGGCGACACCAACCCCCUCGGUGGAUUGAAUCCAGGAUGACAGAGGAUGCUGCUAUUGGAUGUCAAAUUUUGCCAGCAAACACAGAGAGUGACCAGGAAUAUGUUCACCAUUCUACCUUCAUGGGCUGCCAGGUAUUUUUAUUUCCCUUUUUUUU
This 175-nucleotide long non-coding RNA is filed under the name Cavia porcellus (domestic guinea pig). RNAcentral describes it as "lncRNA (ENSCPOG00000039659.1)". The record is from RNAcentral. Lineage: Eukaryota; Metazoa; Chordata; Mammalia; Rodentia; Caviidae.